GGUUCCAAGCAGGCGGUGGUUUUAUGGCCGUUCUAUCAUUGAUGAGGUGCGCAUUUCUUCUCCUGGCGAUCUCUGUUGCUUCUUGGGUGUGGGGUUGCGUCGGUGCGGUGAUGGGUUUUAUUGUUUUGGCUUUCUCCCACUCGAUGCGUAUGUCGUUGCUGUGUGCCUCCUCUGAUGGGGCUGUCGUUGUUUUGCCCGCUGUGAUAUCAUACUUAUGUUCGCGCACUCUUUGGGCUGGGGUUCUGGAUGUGGCACCGGCGUGCGCGGCCUCUCUGCCUUGGUCUGGGUGAGUAGUGGGGAUCUCAUGGACACCUGAUCUUUCUUGGUGCUGGCGCGGGUCCUUCUCGUUGCGGAUGAUGUUGAAGGUGGUGGGAGCCCUCCUGGUGGAUGUCUGCUUCUUGGUUUUUCGCGCGAUUUCCCUUGCUAUACGGAGGUUGCUGGUGCCAUAUGGCACUGACAAGGGGUCGUUCUUCUGGUCGUGUUGGCUGCGCUCUGGGGGGCGGUUUCUGUUGGGUAGGUUUCGCUUUGCUCUACGGUGGACUUUAUUUAUGAAUGCGUUCGUGUAACCGUGAGGGCGGCCUGUGCUAUAAAUGUGGUCGGGUUCCGCGAGGAGCGGUUGAUUGUUGGAUAUAUAAGCGUGGGCUCUAUUAAAAUGGUGGCUGGGGGCUGCGGCUUUAUGUGCGGG
Molecule: long non-coding RNA, 685 nt
Filed under: Androctonus crassicauda
Lineage: Eukaryota; Metazoa; Arthropoda; Arachnida; Scorpiones; Buthidae
Source: RNAcentral